UACUAGAGUAGCACUCGCAUAUCAAUAAGCGGAGGAAAAGAAACUAACAAGGAUUCCCCUAGUAACGGCGAGUGAAGCGGGAAGAGCUCAAAUUUGAAAUCUUAAAGGGUUUCCCUUUACGAAUUGUAGUUUAAAGAAGUGUUUUACUGUUGAGGUUUUGGUAAAAGUUCUUUGGAAUAGGACAUCAUAGAGGGUGAGAAUCCCGUAUUUGACCUUUACUUUCAACUUUGUGAUACACUUUCAAAGAGUCGGAUUGUUUGGGAAUGCAGUCCAAAAUGGGUGGUAAAUUUCAUCUAAAGCUAAAUAUUGGCGAGAGACCGAUAGCGAACAAGUACCGUGAGGGAAAGAUGAAAAGAACUUUGAAAAGAGAGUUAAACAGUACGUGAAAUUGUCAAAAGGGAAGCGUUUGACACCAGUGUUGUUUUUCUGAAAAUCAAUUAAAGAACUGUUUAUGCUAAGCUGUUUAGACUUUAUCAGCUAUACUGUUUAGUUUUGAGCUUUUCUUUAAUGCACUUUUCAGUUAACAAGUCAACAUCAAUUUCUUUUGCUGUAAAAAAGCUUGAGGAAGGUGGCUUGAGAUUCGUCUUAAGUGUUUAUAGCCUCUUGCCUAUGCAGUCGGAGAGAUUGAGGUCUGCAGCGUAGAUCCUUCGGGGCUAAAUGCAUUUGUGCUAAGUUAUAACAUUUUAUAGACAACUUGUUGACUAUGAUUUGUCUUGUAGCUUACUCGCUUAUGUUAUUUUACCUACGCUUAGGAUGUUGAUCUACAGAGCGAGAGU
RNAcentral lists this ribosomal RNA (776 nucleotides) under uncultured Neocallimastigales. RNAcentral describes it as "partial large subunit ribosomal RNA". It matches the Rfam family "Eukaryotic large subunit ribosomal RNA", at positions 20 to 635 of the family's 3401-position model. The record is from RNAcentral. Lineage: Eukaryota; Fungi; Neocallimastigomycota; Neocallimastigomycetes; Neocallimastigales.